RNAcentral lists this unclassified non-coding RNA (352 nucleotides) under soil metagenome. RNAcentral describes it as "partial contains 5.8S ribosomal RNA, internal transcribed spacer 2, and large subunit ribosomal RNA". The stretch from base 1 to 120 matches the Rfam family "5.8S ribosomal RNA", at positions 35 to 154 of the family's 154-position model. The record is from RNAcentral.
GAUGAAGAACGCAGCGAAAUGCGAUAAGUAAUGUGAAUUGCAGAAUUCAGUGAAUCAUCGAAUCUUUGAACGCACAUUGCGCCCGCCAGUAUUCUGGCGGGCAUGCCUGUUCGAGCGUCAUUACAACCCUCAGGCCCCCGGGCCUGGCGUUGGGGAUCGGCGGAGCCCCCCGUGGGCACACGCCGUCCCCCAAAUACAGUAGCGGUCCCGCCGCAGCUUCCAUCGCGUAGUAGCUAACACCUCGCGACUGGAGAGCGGCGCGGCCACGCCGUAAAACACCCAACUCUUCUGAAGUUGACCUCGAAUCAGGUAGGAAUACCCGCUGAACUUAAGCAUAUCAAUAAGCGGAGGA